RNAcentral lists this ribosomal RNA (255 nucleotides) under uncultured bacterium. RNAcentral's name for it is "partial 16S ribosomal RNA". It matches the Rfam family "Bacterial small subunit ribosomal RNA", at positions 524 to 776 of the family's 1533-position model. The record is from RNAcentral.
UACGUAGGGGGCAAGCGUUGUCCGGAUUUAUUGGGCGUAAAGGGCGCGUAGGCGGUUUCUUAAGUUUUGGAGUGACAGUGGGUGGCUUAACUACCCAAGGCCUCUGAAAAACUGGGGAACUUGAGGACCAGAGAGGGACAUAGAAUUCCGGGUGGAGUGGUGAAAUGCGUAGAUAUCCGGAGGAAUACCAAAGGCGAAGGCAGUGUCCUGGAGGGUGACUGACGCUGAGGCGCGAAAGCUAGGGGAGCGAACAGG